Molecule: ribosomal RNA, 859 nt
Filed under: uncultured bacterium
Lineage: Bacteria
Description: bacterial SSU rRNA
Rfam family: Bacterial small subunit ribosomal RNA
Source: RNAcentral
CGGUAAUACGAAGGGACCUAGCGUAGUUCGGAAUUACUGGGCUUAAAGAGUUCGUAGGUGGUUAAAAAAGUUGGUGGUGAAAUCCCAGAGCUUAACUCUGGAACUGCCAUCAAAACUUUUUAGCUAGAGUAUGAUAGAGGAAAGCAGAAUUUCUAGUGUAGAGGUGAAAUUCGUAGAUAUUAGAAAGAAUACCAAUUGCGAAGGCAGCUUUCUGGAUCAUUACUGACGCUGAGGAACGAAAGCAUGGGUAGCGAAGAGGAUUAGAUACCCUCGUAGUCCAUGCCGUAAACGAUGUGUGUUAGACGUUGGAAAUUUAUUUUCAGUGUCGCAGCGAAAGCAUUAAACACACCGCCUGGGGAGUACGACCGCAAGGUUAAAACUCAAAUGAAUUGACGGGGACCCGCACAAGUAGUGGAGCAUGUGGUUUAAUUCGAAGAUACGCGCAGAACCUUACCAACACUUGACAUGUUCGUCGCGACUUUAAGAGAUUAAAGUUUUCGGUUCGGCCGGACGAAACACAGGUGCUGCAUGGCUGUCGUCAGCUCGUGUCGUGAGAUGUUGGGUUAAGUCCCGCAACGAGCGCAACCCUCACUUUUAGUUGCCAUCAUUAAGUUGGGCACUCUGAAAGAACUGCCAGUGAUAAGCUGGAGGAAGGUGGGGAUGACGUCAAGUCCUCAUGGCCCUUACGUGUUGGGCUACACACGUGCUACAAUGGCAUUUACAAUAGGAAGCAAGAUGGCGACGUCAAGCAAAUCCUAAAAAGAUGCCUCAGUUCGGAUUGUACUCUGCAACUCGAGUACAUGAAGCUGGAAUUACUAGUAAUCGCGGAUCAGCGCGCCGCGGUGAAUACGUUCCCGGG